AGGCCAAACCGUAUGCGUGUGAGACCCGGCAGGGGUUGCGUAUACGGGGUUGUGGGAUCUCUCUUUCACGGUCUGCCGGCCGUGAGACGAGUCAGAAACCGUUGAUGUAGGCGAAGGACAUGCGAAAGGUCCGGCGUAGAGGGUAAGACCCCCGUAGUCGAAACGUCAGCGGCUCGUUUGAGAGACACCCAAGUAGCACGGGGCCCGAGAAACUCCCGUGUGAAUCUGGCGGGACCACCCGCUAAGCCUAAAUAUUCCCUGGUGACCGAUAGCGGAUAGUACCGUGAGGGAAUGGUAGAAAAGUACCGCGGGAGCGGAGU
RNAcentral lists this non-coding RNA (320 nucleotides) under Streptomyces afghaniensis 772. RNAcentral's name for it is "Bacterial large subunit ribosomal RNA". It matches the Rfam family "Bacterial large subunit ribosomal RNA", at positions 264 to 539 of the family's 2925-position model. The record is from Rfam by way of RNAcentral. Lineage: Bacteria; Bacillati; Actinomycetota; Actinomycetes; Kitasatosporales; Streptomycetaceae.